RNAcentral lists this ribosomal RNA (450 nucleotides) under uncultured bacterium. Its description in RNAcentral is "bacterial SSU rRNA". It matches the Rfam family "Bacterial small subunit ribosomal RNA", at positions 906 to 1376 of the family's 1533-position model. The record is from RNAcentral.
GGGGAUUGGACGGGGGCCCCGCACAAGUCAGCGGAGCGUGUGGGUUAAUUCGAUGCUACACGAAGAACCUUACCCAGGCUUGACAUACAGGUGGUAGGGAUCCGAAAGGUGACCGACCCGCAAGGGAGCCUGUACAGGUGUUGCAUGGCUGUCGUCAGCUCGUGUCGUGAGAUGUUCGGUUAAGUCCGCUAACGAGCGCAACCCUCGCUGCGUGUUACAAGUGUCACGCAGGACCGCCGGUAUUAAGCCGGAGGAAGGUGGGGAUGACGUCAAGUCAGCAUGGCCUUUAUGCCUGGGGCUACACACACGCUACAAUGGGCAGUACAAUGGGUUGCUAAGCCGCGAGGUGGAGCCAAUCCCCCAAAACUGUCCUCAGUUCCAGAUUGCAGGCUGCAACUCGCCGUGCAUGCAAGCCGGAGUUGCUAGUAGGACGCGCUUAUGUCGUACUCG